RNAcentral lists this transfer RNA (84 nucleotides) under Candidatus Brocadiia bacterium. RNAcentral's name for it is "tRNA-Leu". It matches the Rfam family "tRNA". Rfam says of the family: Transfer RNA (tRNA) molecules are approximately 80 nucleotides in length. Their secondary structure includes four short double-helical elements and three loops (D, anti-codon, and T loops). Further hydrogen bonds mediate the characteristic L-shaped molecular structure. tRNAs have two regions of fundamental functional importance: the anti-codon, which is responsible for specific mRNA codon recognition, and the 3' end, to which the tRNAs corresponding amino acid is attached (by aminoacyl-tRNA synthetases). tRNAs cope with the degeneracy of the genetic code in two manners: having more than one tRNA (with a specific anti-codon) for a particular amino acid; and 'wobble' base-pairing, i.e. permitting non-standard base-pairing at the 3rd anti-codon position. The record is from RNAcentral. Lineage: Bacteria; Pseudomonadati; Planctomycetota; Candidatus Brocadiia.
GCGAAGGUGGCGAAAUUGGCAUACGCGCCAGACUUAGGAUCUGGUUCUGUAAUGGAAUUGCGGGUUCAAGUCCCGCCCUUCGCA